GUGAAAAAGGAAAGGAAAGGAAACAGAAUGGGAUCAGUUUCUGGAUGAGCGUGAGCCACUAGAGCCUCAGAGCCACUCACAAGCUAGCUAACACCGAAAACACCUCCUCAACAGAGGCUCCCAGAAAGUGAUCUCUGCGUGCUCGUAACUGAAAUCCAAUCAUCAGGAAUCCCAGUGCAGCAGGAUGUUAGAGAAAAUAAACAACAGUCUCCUGAGAGGUUCUACCACUGCUUGACAAAUUCAGAGGUUCAAUUCCACCAAACGUUGGUGAAUGAUGGCCCAAUCAGCCUGUACUUCCUUGCUCUCCUGCUGCAAUGUCAUAGACUUCUUCUUUAUAAGAUUCUCCUCCAUCAGGAGCCGGCUGUGCAGGUUACUGUAAGGACACUCUGCAUGGGGAUGGAAAAGUAUUGUUCUGAAAUCCUUGAUGUUCAAGAAUUGUGAUAACCAUGGAAAUGUUUUCACUACCCAGAGUCUCCAGUUCCACAUUACUGGAAAGGCCACCUCAGGCCACCCCUACCAGGAAGCUCAACAUCCACUUCCCAGGACUUACUCCACAUUCGCCAAGUCCACCUCCUUCGUCCUUCAUUACUCUCAGAUGGAAGGUCAGCAUCCUUCCUCCCCUCUCUGGUCUCUCUCCCAUCCACAUUGGCUCUCUGAAAAAGUCUGCAGAGUUGGGCAAACAAGGCCAUCACUGCAAUGUCCAGCCUCUGACUGAGAAAUCUCAGUGAGUUUGUUGUCACUACAACACUGGUGACAUCACAGAGGUUGCUAAGAACUCUCCAGGAGACAAUAGAAUGUCCAGGAAGGGACUGCUGAUAUCAUGGACUACAUACAGCCUUUGGUUCCCUGCUAAUGUUCUCCCUGUACUGACAGGAAGCUGAGCUGCCCUUUCCUGGGGCAUAGCCAUUGAGCACAUCCUCCUUCCAAAGCCAGGGUUUGCUCUAGGCUUGAUUGGCAACACCUAAGUAAUUCCUAUGUAUCUAACUCUGUGUUUCCUUUCCAAACCCCUCUCAGAAAUGUCUCAUCCUACCUUAAAUUUUCCUCAAUCAGCAAUAUGAACCAUUAAAAAACUACUGAGAAAUC
This 1083-nucleotide long non-coding RNA is filed under the name Mus musculus (house mouse). RNAcentral's name for it is "spermatogenesis associated glutamate (E)-rich protein 4C, opposite strand transcript". Lineage: Eukaryota; Metazoa; Chordata; Mammalia; Rodentia; Muridae. The record is from RNAcentral.